Molecule: long non-coding RNA, 1004 nt
Organism: Bufo bufo (common toad)
Lineage: Eukaryota; Metazoa; Chordata; Amphibia; Anura; Bufonidae
Exons: 4
Source: RefSeq, a predicted model, not a curated record
GUAAUGAUCUGCCAGGGCCUGCACUUGGGGUAAUGAUCUGCCAGGGCCUGCACUUGGGGUAAUGAUCUGCCAGGGCCUGCACUUGGGGUAAUGAUCUGCCAGGGCCUGCACUUGGGGUAAUGAUCUGCCAGGGCCUGCACUUGGGGUAAUGAUCUGCCAGGGCCUGCACUUGGGGUAAUGAUCUGCCAGGGCCAGGAGGUAAUGAUCUGCCAGGGCCUGCACUUGGGGUAAUGAUCUGCCAGGGCCUGCACUUGGGGUAAUGAUCUGCCAGGGCCUGCACUUGGGGUAAUGAUCUGCCAGGGCCUGCACUUGGGGUAAUGAUCUGCCAGGGCCUGCACUUGGGGUAAUGAUCUGCCAGGGCCUGCACUUGGGGUAAUGAUCUGCCAGGGCCUGCACUUGGGGUAAUGAUCUGCCAGGGCCUGCACUUGGGGUAAUGAUCUGCCAGGGCCUGCACUUGGGGUAAUGAUCUGCCAGGGCCAGGAGGUAAUGAUCUGCCAGGGCCUGCACUUGGGGUAAUGAUCUGCCAGGGCCUGCACUUGGGGUAAUGAUCUGCCAGGGCCUGCACUUGGGGUAAUGAUCUGCCAGGGCCUGCACUUGGGGUAAUGAUCUGCCAGGGCCAGGAGGUAAUGAUCUGCCAGGGCCUGCACUUGGGGUAAUGAUCUGCCAGGGCCAGGAGGUAAUGAUCUGCCAGGGCCUGCACUUGCGGUGUUCUUAGGGGCACCCUGAUGACCCCCCAGCUGCCUGAGUGCGGGGCUCACAGCACUGCUCCCUGCAGCCUUUUGCCCAUAGAUCUUUGGAUCUUGAGUUGUGUCAAUGAGUGUCCCCAUGGGAAACAAUGAGAAGUGAUAGGUCUGGUAGGGGCAGGUGCACCCCCUGGGAUCCACUCCUAUGCAGAGAACAGGACCUGUGGCGCAGUGUGGAGAGGUGACAGCACAUGCCCAGCUUUCUCCAUUCAUUCCAUUUAAGCUCAGCCAUUUUCACAGCUCCCAUAGAAGUGAAUAGAG